AACAUGAACUUAACAACUUGUACCAUUAACAAUGAUGGUCAAAAUGACCAUACCACGUCCUUCAAACUCCACAAAUAACCACAUGGACCCAAACUCAAACCUCUCCAUAGGUUUUGGAAGGAAAAAAAGAAAGAUAUGAAUUAAAACGAAUGGCAAACGACAGAAGACCAAGUUGGGGGCAAUAAUACAAAAAGCAGUGGUUUGUG
Molecule: long non-coding RNA, 206 nt
Filed under: Glycine max (soybean)
Lineage: Eukaryota; Viridiplantae; Streptophyta; Magnoliopsida; Fabales; Fabaceae
Description: long non-coding RNA (GMAX_LNC002260)
Source: RNAcentral